RNAcentral lists this ribosomal RNA (253 nucleotides) under uncultured bacterium. RNAcentral's name for it is "partial 16S ribosomal RNA". It matches the Rfam family "Bacterial small subunit ribosomal RNA", at positions 524 to 776 of the family's 1533-position model. The record is from RNAcentral.
UACGUAGGGCGCAAGCGUUAUCCGGAAUUAUUGGGCGUAAAGAGCUCGUAGGCGGUUUGUCGCGUCUGCCGUGAAAGUCCGGGGCUCAACUCCGGAUCUGCGGUGGGUACGGGCAGACUAGAGUGAUGUAGGGGAGACUGGAAUUCCUGGUGUAGCGGUGAAAUGCGCAGAUAUCAGGAGGAACACCGGUGGCGAAGGCGGGUCUCUGGGCCGACACUGACGCUGAGGAGCGAAAGCGUGGGGAGCGAACAGG